UACGUAGGGUCCGAGCGUUGUCCGGAGUUACUGGGCGUAAAGAGCGCGCAGGCGGUCGUACAAGUCGCGUGUGAAAGCCCCCGGCUCAACUGGGGAGGGUCACGCGAUACUGUUCGACUCGAAGGCAGGAGAGGGAAGUGGAAUUCCCGGUGUAGUGGUGAAAUGCGUAGAUAUCGGGAGGAACACCAGUGGCGAAGGCGACUUCCUGGCCUGUUCUUGACGCUGAGGCGCGAAAGCUAGGGUAGCAAACGGG
This 253-nucleotide ribosomal RNA is filed under the name uncultured bacterium. Its description in RNAcentral is "partial 16S ribosomal RNA". It matches the Rfam family "Bacterial small subunit ribosomal RNA", at positions 524 to 776 of the family's 1533-position model. The record is from RNAcentral.